CACCGCGGUUAUACGAGGGGCCCAAGUUGACAGUCCACGGCGUAAAGGGUGGUUAGGGAAUUCUAUUAAACUAAAGCCGAACGCUUACAAAGCUGUUAUACGCACACGAAAGUAAGAAGAUCAACAACGAAAGUGGCUUUAUUCACCCUGAACCCACGAAAGCUAAGGAA
RNAcentral lists this ribosomal RNA (170 nucleotides) under Polydactylus plebeius (striped threadfin). RNAcentral describes it as "partial 12S ribosomal RNA". Lineage: Eukaryota; Metazoa; Chordata; Actinopteri; Polynemidae. The record is from RNAcentral.